GCGUAGGAAUCUACCUUAUAGUGGGGGACAACCCGAGGAAGCUCGGGCUAAUACCGCAUAAUCUCUACGGAGCAAAGCAGGGGACCUUUCGGGGCCUUGCGCUAAAAGAUGAGCCUGCGUUGGAUUAGCUUGUUGGUGGGGUAAAGGCCUACCAAGGCGACGAUCCAUAGCUGGUCUGAGAGGACGAUCAGCCACACUGGGACUGAGACACGGCCCAGACUCCUACGGGAGGCAGCAGUGGGGAAUAUUGGACAAUGGGCGAAAGCCUGAUCCAGCAAUGCCGCGUGUGUGAAGAAGGCC
RNAcentral lists this ribosomal RNA (300 nucleotides) under uncultured Coxiellaceae bacterium. Its description in RNAcentral is "bacterial SSU rRNA". It matches the Rfam family "Bacterial small subunit ribosomal RNA", at positions 115 to 416 of the family's 1533-position model. The record is from RNAcentral. Lineage: Bacteria; Pseudomonadati; Pseudomonadota; Gammaproteobacteria; Legionellales; Coxiellaceae.